GAGGUGAAGCGCUCUCUCUCUCUCCUGAUGCGAAGCGUUGUGUUGGAGAACUGUUUGUCCUCUACGCUGUGGUCGUUGCGCACUGUCACACAGAGAUGCACACAGCUGUACUUCAUCAGGAAAUCUGAUCCAAGUCAGAGGAAGUGCCACGAGGCUUCUGGCCACAUCACACAGCUCAUCUUAGACCGCUUUUGCUUUGGCGAUUUUUUGCUUUUUAAGAGUCUAACUGCUCUCCAUAUUUCCAAAUCCACCACACAGGGAUGGAGGAUUUGGUGCAACACUGGACAGCUGAUGACUCAUGUUUGUGCCUCUCCUUCUUCCCGUUGUCACAGGAUGUUCGCCUAUGUCAAGGUCUUCCCUUUUUAACAACAUCAAAAUAAAAGCACGACAUGCC
Oreochromis niloticus (Nile tilapia) is the source of this 394-nucleotide long non-coding RNA. RefSeq lists it as uncharacterized. The transcript has 2 exons. The record is from RefSeq and is a predicted model, not a curated record. Lineage: Eukaryota; Metazoa; Chordata; Actinopteri; Cichliformes; Cichlidae.